CUGAACUUCAAUUUUAUUCACCUGAAUGUUAAGAAAAGAACAGCAUGUGUAAAUACUUGUCUUCUGAUAAUCUUUGACAAACUUAUCAGCCAACUUACAGUUAAAGGAAAUCAAAUCUAGGCAAAAUGGAAACUUGAUGUGUACAUCCAAAAGUAAUAAUGGAAAUAGAAAUUUCCCUAUGAAGCACUUUCCCAUCACAAAUUUUAAAACAGAAAAGACAAGAAAAGAACUCUCAUGUUAGACUCCAUACCCAGGUCAAGAAACCACCUUUAGUUGUUGCUCCUUGGAACCACUUAGACCAAUUUCUCAUGUCAUGCUAAAGAGACAGAUAGAGCAUCCUGAAUCUCACUCCUCAAUAGAUCACUCAUUGGAAUACUUAUUGAUGAAACUAAAAAAGGUGGUAUAAUAAAUUCACAUUAAAAAUUUUACGAUGAAGAGAAGAAAACUCAAAAAAUUAAACAACCUUCCGAGGGUGAGUAACGAGUUCAUUAGCAUCUUCCACACCUUGGCUACCAAGAACAUGCUCAUUUCCACAUGAUGGUGAUGCUUCAUCAAAAUCAUUCCUUUCCUGCCCUGAUUUAUUUUCUGAUAGUUCCCUUCUUUUCUUUCCCGAGAACGUAACAUUAGGGAGAAGAAACAACUUCACAAGAUUCUCAGGUUGAUAUUGGCAAUCUUCUGGAAGUGUGCUGCUACAUGGUGCUUGUUUUGCAGGGAGUAGUAAAGACUUCAGACUUUUGGGUGGAGCAAAGAUAUCAACUCUUUUCCUGUUCAAUGAUUUAAUGAAAUCAAUGUCAUCCUCUGCUUGAUAUUUGCUCUUGUGUCUCUUAGUUGUGUAACCACUUUCAGCAAAAGAAACAUUCUCUUGACCUACAAAAAGGAUACCAGAUUAAGUAGCAGAAAAAAUGGAUAUGCAAGACACAAAAUGCAAGCCAAGACAGCUUUUCCUUUGUCCUUGCUAAUACUUACACCUAUACUUCUGAAAUUUCCAGUGAUCAGGACCUGCCUACAUAUUUUGUUCUAAAGUAAUUCCCAAUCCUUCAAACAAAAACAUGGUAACAUUCUGAAAACUUUGAUCUACAUCAGGUUUGAAAGACAUACAGAGAUCAUUCUCCUACAAAAUUACACCAAGUUUGUCUAAGUACCCUUUAUUACCUCUUUUCUCUUCAGUAAAGUACAAAAUGAAGGAUGCAUUAGAUGAGCAAUGAGAAAACUAGGACUUAAACUACAGUAGAAAAUAGCAUGAAAAAGACCCCUCAUGAUCACUUUGAAGAGUAGAAUCAUUAGGAAAGCUCUCAUUGAAAAUGAUAGACUCAUUGUCAUUAUUAUAAGCCCAGGCUUCAAACUUGCCAAAUGAAUUAUUAUCCUUUUUGACUUCACUAGUGCCAAACACAUUAGCUCUCGCAUCAAACUUCUGGCCUACACCAAAGGUUUCAGAUGAUCUUUGAUUGUCUUCAUCAAAAUGACAGAUGAUGUCCCCAAGAGUUGGAGAAAUUUCAUUCUUUGCCUGAAUGUUCUUCUCCAUCUGUUCAAUAGAUUCUUUAGCAAAUGAGAUAUCAAUCAUAUCUAGAUUAUCAUUUUCUGCAAACACGAUUUGCACUUCCCUGGCACUUCAAAAGAAUCAAAAAGCACCUGGCAUCCUCCAUAUACUCCAAGAUUAUUCAAUAGGAGACCCUUGGCUCCUCCUUCAUCAAAUUGUGCAGAUGUCAUCAAACCUUUUCACAUUUAGGGCUUCAAAUGAGGAUUCCAACGUUGACAAUGGUAAAUCUUCUUCCCAGAAUUUUUCUUAAAAUGACUCCUAUCUUGCCACACCUUGACAUUAUCACUCUUUGUCACAGAAGUCUCUGGUUCACCUUCUAGACUGGCUCGACCGAGCCCAUCAAGAACCUUAUAUGCCUCAGAGAGCACUGCAUCCACCCUCACAGAGUAGAUUUUCACUCCUGCUUCCAAAGUGUAACUUGCCUUUUGGAAAUCAGUCUCAGUAUCAGCUUCAGAUGCGACUUUAAUAAUAUCACUAAGAUGGUCUAUAAGCUUCAGCUCCCAAGUGUUCUUCUGAUCUAUUUUAUUUUCGCUAGCGAGCUUGAUGCAGUUCUAAAACAACUCGAUGAUCUGUUGUUUGCUAAGACAAGGAUCAGGAGGAGAAGGAGCGGCAAAAGUGGUGGCUUUAAGGCGAGUGGCGGGUACACGUGCAGCUCGUACUUGAGCGCGCUCUAGCUGGUCGUUGUUUGAGGCCAGGAAGAAGGAAUUAAUCGGUGAUUGAAGACGGUACGCCAUGGUAGUUCUCUGCCUGGGACUCGCUGCUUCGCCCAUCGAACCGAGCAGUUUUUCAGAAUCUGAGAGGGAAAGGUUUCAUCUUCGUUUUGAAUUUGGUUAUUU
This 2373-nucleotide unclassified non-coding RNA is filed under the name Hevea brasiliensis (rubber tree). The record is from RNAcentral. Lineage: Eukaryota; Viridiplantae; Streptophyta; Magnoliopsida; Malpighiales; Euphorbiaceae.